Molecule: ribosomal RNA, 220 nt
Filed under: uncultured bacterium
Lineage: Bacteria
Description: partial 16S ribosomal RNA
Rfam family: Bacterial small subunit ribosomal RNA
Source: RNAcentral
AUUCUCAGUUCGGAUUGUAGGCUGAAACUCGCCUACAUGAAGCUGGAGUUACUAGUAAUCGCAGAUCAGAAUGCUGCGGUGAAUGCGUUCCCGGGUCUUGUACACACCGCCCGUCACACCACGGAAGUUGGGGGCGCCCGAAGCCACUUAAGCUAACCCUUUUGGGAAGCGAGUGUCGAAGGUGAAAUCAAUAACUGGGGUGAAGUCGUAACAAGGUAUC